Molecule: long non-coding RNA, 943 nt
Organism: Frieseomelitta varia
Lineage: Eukaryota; Metazoa; Arthropoda; Insecta; Hymenoptera; Apidae
Exons: 3
Source: RefSeq, a predicted model, not a curated record
UUCUGCUAUCUACAUCUAACGAUAAAACGAAAAAAUAAAAUAAAGAUAGAAGAUGGAGUAUUGGAAAUUAGCGUGAUCAAGAAACGAGCUCGUAAAUGAGACAGUUCACACUCGUGUUCGCCAAUCUGUCGGUUUAAAGUUACGUUAUAGUGUGAUAGUCGGACACAAGGGAGGCUCUGCUAUGAUCUACAAACGCCUGACGAAAGAACAAAGAUAACGUGACAGAAGGGGCAGGCGGCCGAGUAUUGGAAAUUGGCGUGAUCAAGAAACGAGCUCGUAAAUGAAACAGUUCACACUCGUGUUCGCCAAUCUGUCGGUUUAAAGCUUAGUUGCGUUACGUUAUAGUGUGAUAGUCGGACACAAGGGAGGCCCUGCUAUGAUCUACAAACGUCUGACGAAAGAACAAAGAUAACGUGACAGAAGAGGGAGACGGCCGAGUAUUGGAAAUUAGCGUGAUCAAGAAACGAGCUCGUAAAUGAGACAGUUCAUACUCGUGUUUGCCGAUCCGUUCCGGUUUAGGGGUUGGGUUAGGCGGUGGACUGAAAGCACGGCAGGCGGAGCACCGGGGAUGGUUGGCGUUAGCAGCGAGAAACGGAGAGCAGGGACGACAAGGUUGAGAGAGCUACCGCUCCGGGGUGUACGGGGUUGAAGCAGAGGGAGCCACACGGGUAUUAGCAUAUUAAUUUCGCAGAGACUGCGACGCGCAGAUAAAGCAUCUUAGGUAGGCGAACUUCGGUGAUGAAUCAAGCUCAUACCGCUGGUAAUUAUUCAGAAAGUUCAUCGCCAACGGGGCGAUCCGCACGGGACGCGCGGCAACGAAACAAAAAUAUUUUUCUUCCCAGGACCUCCAGGUAACAUCGCUCAUCGUUAUUCAUCUUUUUCUUCGUCUCGAGAGCGUUCCUUUUCGCCCCCGAAAAAAAAAAAAAAAAAAAAAAAAAAAAAA